This is a long non-coding RNA of Pan troglodytes (chimpanzee), 4103 nucleotides long. RefSeq lists it as uncharacterized. NCBI's taxonomy places the organism in Eukaryota, Metazoa, Chordata, Mammalia, Primates, Hominidae. The transcript has 3 exons. The record is from RefSeq and is a predicted model, not a curated record.
GUGCAGAGUUUGCCAUACAGUAGGCACUCAGUAUAUAGCUACGGAAUUGCAUGAGCCUUUUUCAAGAGAAAUAUUCUAUUUUGUGUGACAAAAGAAGGGACAUAAAGUAGACUACAUAGAUCAUGUUGGCUACUUCAGUUUCUUUCUCUUCUUCUUCUUUUUAAAUAAACACUAAUAAAACAGGAUUGAUAUCUCUUGAAAGUUCUAGUGAAGCAAGGAGGUUUUCCAGAAGGUGGUUGGAUCCCUUUAUUAAAAGCAUCUGUGCCACGGCCACUGGCAGAAGCCCAAACAUCCUGAAGUGGAUGGCUCUGGGAAAUCAGAAAGAUAGAACACAGCCAAAUUCUAAGAUGGAACAAAUCGUAAAGUCAUACUGCAUCUUAAUUUGAUGACCCAUGGGAAAGGUUUUUCUGCCUCAUCAAGUCUAUAAAGCAAGGUAUUUAUGGUUUUCUUGUGCAUUUAAUAGGUAACAAGAGUAAUGUAUAAUGAUGCUAUUACACUGACUUAACAUAGACUGUUUCUUAAGGUAUUCUGUUGUUAAUUUUACUACUUUCAUUUUCUCCAUGUGUGAUUGAUUUUGCAUUCAUUGUUUCAUAAUAUAUAUCCAUCUUCAGUGAAGCAUUCCGAAAGCAGAAGAAAGCAAGCACUUAGGGAAUAUUCACAUUAAAGAAGUCAUGUAACUCAAAAGAUGAAAAAUGCCAUGUAUCUCCUCUCCAAUAUGGUAAUUAACAGCUGAAAGUCAACUCUGGAUCAUCUGUAUAGUGGGGCAGUAAAAGGCAUAUAAAAUCAUAAAUAAACUCAGACUGGUUUUUGUUUUGGAAUGGUUCCUGUACUUCCAUAUGAAUAAGAGAGUGACUCACCCCCUUGGGAAUUCACAGUACAUCAAACCAAAUUAGGAAGCCAGGCAGCUGUGACCUGGUUUUGUAAGGGCCAAGAAAACUACAGAGUUUCACUACUGAACCUAGUAACUCAAAAUGAUUCCCUGGUUCCCAUGCCAUUUGAUACAUGGGUGUACCUUACUGAGUCAUAUAAAAUGCCACUCUGGGCUUGUGUUUUCUCUUACCUUACCCAGAGUUGUAUGUGAGGAAAUAAAGGCUUGAGAGAUCUUGAGGUGGCAGUUUACAGGAGGGUAAAAGGAAACAGGAGUUAGAAUAAACAAUGUUAGUAACAACUUGGAUGCAAGAUUGACCUUAUGCAAUCUCUAAGGUACAUUGAAUUGAAGGAGGGAGAGAGUUCUAAACUGCUUGUUCUCAGUCUGCUCCACCUCCUGAAUAUAUCUGUCCAUCUAAGAAAAGGAUUAAAUUCAAGAUAACCCUUGUCAUCUGCAUGCUGCCACAUGGUUAGGAUGAAGACUGACACACGAGACAAGUGAUGAUAAGUUGGAAAUAGCCUGUUAUCCAAGAAACGACAGUUAUUUUCUUAUUUUAUACUCAAAGAAGUGUGGGACUAAACCAAAAUAUUGUCGUCUACACUCACUGACUUUAAUAGGCGAUCCUCCUCGGGGCCUGACCACCCCCAAGCUCUUUCUGUCUUACCCUCUAUUAUUCUUUCAACAAAGCUUGAAAAUGAAUAAGGAACUUUGCUGGCACCUCCCAAGAGAAAAAGAAUUCACCAGUGGCCACUACCAACACCACAUUGUUUAUCAGAACAUAAAGUUCGGUUGAAAUCCCGCAGUGACGUCAUCCCCCAGCACUUACUGAUGAAGCUAGGGACAAUUCCAAGACAUUUUCAAUGGGAUUGGAUACUCUGCGCAGGAAAUGGUCAACCAGCUUGUACUUCAAAGACUUUUCCUCUACUUAGGUUGUGCUUAGCUCUUAAAAGAAGUGGAAAGGAACCUAAAUCACAGACUCAGGCUAAGUUGAUUCUUAAAAAGAUUCCAAGAGAACUUCAUAUGCUGUGGUUAUUUUUCUGUGGGUUGAUAACUUGAUGUAAUUACUGGCAUUUAGGUGACUCUUUUUCUGAAACAUCGUUAGACUCAUGGAGACUUUGCUCUAGGAAUGGAAAAACAUUCAGUAUCAUAUGGGUGACACAAAAAUAGUCCAGAGAGACUGGUCUUUUAGGAGGUGGAGCUGCAAAUGGUUUGAAAAGCAAAUUGCCCACAUUGAUGGGGAGGGUCAUGUAUACCUAGGUGUUGAAAACUAGGAUCAAAGGAAUAACUUCUCAAAAGACUAAGAGAUCAGAAAUUUAGGAUACAUGUAUUUAGAUGGAAAAAGAAGCAUGGAGAGGACUUGACAUGCUAUAUGCCAGCCUAGGUGUUAAAUAUUUAAACUUUUUCUCAUUCUAUAAUCUAUGUGUUCUCUAUUCUAAUUGGAAAUGAUAUGAAGCAGAUAUAGGCACAUUUUCUAUUUAUAGAAAUGCAUUAUGAUCUUGAAUUCUGUUUUGCCAAUGAAAUUUUUGGAUGACACGACAAAUAUUCUUAUAAAAUUAUUAAAGAAAAUGACUAAGCUAAAAUUAGUGAAGGCUCAUGAUCACUUUUUAAAAAAUCUGAAUGUUUCAACAUUAUCUAGGAUACUUAAGACAAGAAUAUAACCUUUUAGGGUCAGGAGACCUAGGUUUAAGUUUGGUUUUCUUAUUUAUAAAAUAAGGAUAGCAAUAUUUACUUUAAAGAUUUCUUGUGAAGGCUAAAUGAGCUAAUUUUAAAGAGUUCUCUAAACAGUAGUGGUAGUAAUGAUAAUAAUAAUAAAAACAACAGAUGAGGCAGAGUUUCUUCAGUGCUUACAAUGUGAGGGGCACUGUUCUGUCCUGUAUUAACUCCUUUAAUUUUCGCAACUCCUUCGUGGAUCAGAUACUAUCCUAACAACCCUUUAACAUAUAAAGUCAAUCAUAGAAAGGUUAAAUAAUUUUCUCAAAGUCAUUUGGUUAGUAAAUGGCAGGAUCAGAAUUUAAACUCUCCUCUAUUUUGUGCUGCUUCUGCCCAUGCAGUUCAUACUGAAACACUAGGAAAAAGAAAAUAUAGUAUGCUUUGCCUAAAGACCACCUAUGUAAUAAAUAUGACACAAGUAUUCUAAUAAGGAUUAUGUAGUCAUAGUAGGGAUGUACUACUGUCAUGUUGAGAGAAAAUCUAUAUGUGAUUGUAGGGACUAAUAGAGCAAUUCACAGUGAGGACAUGAUUAAGUGUAGAAAUUUUUCAUAACAUUUUAUUGGGUGGCAGUAUCUUAAAUAUUUCUUUUUUCUUAGCAAAGUUCUUCAAGAAGUCAUAAUAAGCCACAGAGUCACAUUGGUAACAUCUGGAAGACUGGUUCCCUAGGUAAGCCUCCUAAAAGGCCUCUUGUUACGUCAAAACGAAUAAAGGGUUCAUUAUCUGCUGCCCUUAUUUUUCCAUUGAAACUGAAAACUUUCAAAAAAGGAGGCGUUCGGUAGCACAAGUGGAAAGAUUGGCUUGGAUUGUUCUCUCUGCCUAUUAUAGCCAGAGGAGUUCUUUUGUUUUGAGAAGACAUUUAUGAUUCUUUCCACAAGCUGAACACACAUUUACCCGGGAGAGUAACUCCCAUACUCAGUUGAACUGAAAAAGUGAUAUAAUAAUAUUUUGAUACUUUCAUAUUUCCCUUUAUUAGGAAUAACAAUUUGGGGAGUUUUUAAAAUGAAUACAUAAGGCAGUUAGCUUUAAAAUUUUCCCAUAAUACCGCAGAGGAAAUAAACACAACACAAAACAAUUCCCAUGUGAAAACAUACUAGCCAACUUAUAGUGAUAAUCUGAUUGGAAACACUUUGUUCAUUAUAAAAUGUUAGAUACUAUAUUUCAAACAUGAGAGAAAUCUGAUAGUAAUCCCUGUCCACACAUAAAUGGAAUGCCUUAAAAUGCCAUAAGAUAUUGUAUUUCCACCUUAAACACCUGUGUGGCAUAAGUCAUCCACAGGAGCUAUCUUUUAUAAUAAAAAAGUAAACUUGCUUUAAAUAAAAUUGAAAUUCCAAAUAUUUUUUAAUUUAUUUAAAAUUUAUUUAUUUAAUUUAUUUAAUGGACUUUCAUCUUACAGGAGGGGAUACGCUGUCUUUUGCAAAUACUUUCACUCUGCUUCAUAGCUGCACAUAUUCUAGUAGUGGUACAGAAACAAAACUGGAAUUCUGGUUUCAGAGUUGACAACAGAUGUGAAAGAUAAAGAAAAUGU